RNAcentral lists this transfer RNA (71 nucleotides) under Mus musculus (house mouse). RNAcentral's name for it is "tRNA-Ser". Lineage: Eukaryota; Metazoa; Chordata; Mammalia; Rodentia; Muridae. The record is from RNAcentral.
GGUGAAAUGGCUCAGUGGGUAAGAGCACAGACUGCUCUAUUGAAGGUCCUGGGUUCAAAUCCCAGCAACCA